AUUCAAACAUCUUUUUCAGUAUAUGUAUUACAGGCCUCUCACUCUGAUAUCAUCACAGCAUACAUGAGUCGGGAAUCACUUGGAGAUGUGGUCGAAUGAUAGAACUAACAGAAAGGUGUGGAGAUUCUUGUCCCACAAAAAUCAAAUAUGCUGAGGUGCGAUCAAGAGACAUACUUAGCCGAAGCCCACGUUAGUCCUCUUUUCUGUUCUUAUCAAAUCAAUCUCUCUCUCUCAUGCUUAUGACGAUGGUUGGUAUUGUUCCGAUGGAACUACAGAAUGGUAAAAACGAAGUACUUGAGGCCAAGGACACCACGGGGUGGAACCAUAUGUGAACCUGUAAGUUCUUGAAAAGCAAAGAUUCAUACCUUGUAAGUGCUCUUCUCUGUUUGAAUUUCUGCUUGAUUAGGAAAAUUAUCUAUAUAUAUUAAUCUG
This is a long non-coding RNA of Tarenaya hassleriana, 432 nucleotides long. RefSeq lists it as uncharacterized. The record is from RefSeq and is a predicted model, not a curated record. NCBI's taxonomy places the organism in Eukaryota, Viridiplantae, Streptophyta, Magnoliopsida, Brassicales, Cleomaceae. The transcript has 3 exons.